CACCAGUGUCCAUUCUUCUCAUCUUUAAUGAGAUGAGAAGCUGAAAGCUCAGCAAGACUGGGAGGUGAGCCCCCAAAGGACAUUGGACUUUGACUCAGUGACUCAUUGGUUAACAUGUCCUGUUUUGCAGAAGGUAAAAGUGCUCUUCUGGGAAAGUAAUUAUCAAGCUCUAACAGUGAGAUCUGAAUGUAACUUCAACAGAUGCCAUCAUUUUUUAGGUUUGUCACUUAUGGAAACUCCACUCAGCCUCCUGGAAUCUGGGGACAUUUAUUCAAUGUACUGUGGGGCAAUGGUCUGACCCUGAAGCAAGAACACUACUUUGAAAGUAAAACUACUAAAUAAUUAACAAGUGUACCUACUCAAAGUUGGACUUUGGCCAAGGUGUUAGGAAUGUUACUCAGAAAAUGACUAAGAAGAAAAGAAACACAGAUGCACAGACACAGAGGAAAGAUGGCCGUGUGAAGACAGAGUCAGAGAUUGGAGUGAUGCUGCCACAAGCCAAGGAAUGCCUGGGGCCACCAGAGCCUAAAAGAGACAAGGAAAACAUUUUCUCUAGAAACUUCAGAGAGAGCAUGGCUCCGACAACAACUUCAUAUCAGACUUCUGGCCUCUUGAUCUGUGAAAGAAUGCACUUCUGUUGUUUUACACUACCCAGGGUAAAUACCUUUUGAAUGAACUUGCUGCAUUGUAUGGUCCUGCUUUCAGUGUCAUAACUGAGAACUCUGCCUAAUCCAAGGCUCUGAAACUUUUCUCCUGUAUUUUCUUCUAAAAGUUUUAUAGUUUUAGCUCUUACAUUUAGGUCUAUAUUCCAUUUUGAGUUAAUUUUUGUUUGUAGUGUGAGAUAAGGGGCUAAAUUUAUCAUUUGGUAUAUGGCUAUCUAAUUGUCCCAGCACUAUUUGUUAGAAAGACUUUAGUUUCUUCAUUGUAUUUCCUUGUCACCUUUGUCAAAAAUUAACUGACCAUAAAUUUUUAUUUCUGGACUCUCACUUCUGUUCCAUUUAUCUAUCUGCCUAUCCUAAUACUAUGUAUAUUUUUAAGUUAAUCUUUAGUCAAAAUAGGAUUAUUGCCAGUUUGUACCACUUCUGAGAUUAUGACAUUUCCCAUCUUGAUUGGGCACUAAUGUCUUUGUAUUUUUGUUUUCUUUCCUAAUAGCAAAAGGAAAACACUUUAGAAAUUUUCUCCCUCAUGUACUCUCUAAAAUUAUGUUAAUUUCUCAUUGAAACAUACAAACACUUCCAAAGAAGAAAGACACAGAUAUUUGUCAUUGGAAAACAUUAUGAUUCAGAUUCAGUGGAAUGAAGAGGGAUUGAUCUAGCAGUUUGGAGGCUGCCAAUAUCCUGGAAGAUCUUAGUGGUCAGGGAUUGAGAUGGAAACCUCCAAUUUUCUUUUAAAAUUGUUCAUACAUUUGUCAUUAUAUUUUUGCCAAAAUUUUGAAUAAUUUUUUUAAGGCAAAUUCCCAGAAUUUGAAAUACCAAAUACAAGGCAGAUGAACAUUUUGUUAUAUCAAAGUGAUAAGAAUAAACAUUUAUUCUUCUGGCUCAAGUGAGACAGUAUGCACAAUAUAUUAUAAAAAUUGGAGGUAGCUAUUGGAUAAUGAAAUGUAUAAUGCAGUCAAUAUUGUACAUAUUAAUUGUAUUAAAUGCAAAAUGUAAUUUAUGGCACAAUUUAAUGAAAUUGAUUUA
Choloepus didactylus (southern two-toed sloth) is the source of this 1682-nucleotide long non-coding RNA. RefSeq lists it as uncharacterized. The transcript is spliced from 4 exons. Lineage: Eukaryota; Metazoa; Chordata; Mammalia; Pilosa; Megalonychidae. The record is from RefSeq and is a predicted model, not a curated record.